RNAcentral lists this ribosomal RNA (497 nucleotides) under uncultured bacterium. RNAcentral describes it as "partial 16S ribosomal RNA". It matches the Rfam family "Bacterial small subunit ribosomal RNA", at positions 28 to 507 of the family's 1533-position model. The record is from RNAcentral.
GAUGAACGCUGGCGGCGUGCCUAAUACAUGCAAGUCGAGCGAACAGACGAGGAGCUUGCUCCUCUGACGGUAGCGGCGGACGGGUGAGUAACACGUGGAUAACCUACCUAUAAGACUGGGAUAACUUCGGGAAACCGGAGCUAAUACCGGAUAAUAUAUUGAACCGCAUGGUUCAAUAGUGAAAGACGGUUUUGCUGUCACUUAUAGAUGGAUCCGCGCCGCAUUAGCUAGUUGGUAAGGUAACGGCUUACCAAGGCAACGAUGCGUAGCCGACCUGAGAGGGUGAUCGGCCACACUGGAACUGAGACACGGUCCAGACUCCUACGGGAGGCAGCAGUAGGGAAUCUUCCGCAAUGGGCGAAAGCCUGACGGAGCAACGCCGCGUGAGUGAUGAAGGUCUUCGGAUCGUAAAACUCUGUUAUUAGGGAAGAACAAAUGUGUAAGUAACUAUGCACGUCUUGACGGUACCUAAUCAGAAGGCCACGGCUAACUACGUG